RNAcentral lists this ribosomal RNA (603 nucleotides) under uncultured bacterium. RNAcentral describes it as "bacterial SSU rRNA". It matches the Rfam family "Bacterial small subunit ribosomal RNA", at positions 24 to 668 of the family's 1533-position model. The record is from RNAcentral.
UCAGGAUGAACGCUGGCGGUAAGGGUAACAUAUGCAAGUCGAACGAAGUUUUUCGGAACUUAGUGGCGGACGGGUGAGUAACGCGUGAGAAUCUGCAUUAAGGAUUGGGACAACAGUGGGAAACCGCUGCUAAUACCAAAUAUGCCUUUUAGUGAAACGGGUAAAACCGCCUUAAGAUGAGCUCGCGUCUGAUUAGCUAGUAGGUGUGGUAAGAGCGCACCUAGGCGACGAUCAGUAGCUGGUCUGAGAGGACGACCAGCCACACUGGGACUGAGACACGGCCCAGACUCCUACGGGAGGCAGCAGUGAGGAAUUUUCCGCAAUGGGCGGAAGCCUGACGGAGCAAUACCGCGUGAGGGAGGAAGGUUCUUGGAUUGUAAACCUCUUUUCUCAGAGAAGAAUAAUGACGGUAUCUGAGGAAUAAGCAUCGGCUAACUCCGUGCCAGCAGCCGCGGUAAUACGGAGGAUGCAAGCGUUAUCCGGAAUGAUUGGGCGUAAAGGGUCUGUAGGUGGUUGUUCAAGUCUGCUGUUAAAGCGUCUGGCUUAACCAGAUAAAGGCGGUGGAAACUGAACGACUAGAGUGCGGUAGGGGUAGAGGGAAUU